AUUGAACGCUGGCGGAAUGCUUUACACAUGCAAGUCGAACGGCAGCACGGGUGCUUGCACCUGGUGGCGAGUGGCGAACGGGUGAGUAAUAUAUCGGAACGUAUCCAAUAAUGGGGGAUAACUAGCCGAAAGGUUAGCUAAUACCGCAUACGCCCUGAGGGGGAAAGCUGGGGAUCGUAAGACCUAGCGUUGAUGGAGCGGCCGAUAUCUGAUUAGCUAGUUGGUGGGGUAAGAGCCUACCAAGGCGACGAUCAGUAGCUGGUCUGAGAGGACGACCAGGCACACUGGAACUGAGACACGGUCCAGACUCCUACGGGAGGCAGCAGUGGGGAAUUUUGGACAAUGGGGGCAACCCUGAUCCAGCAAGUCCGCGUGAGUGAAGAAGGCCUUCGGGUUGUAAAGCUCUUUCGCAAGGGAAGAAAACUCGAUCUCUAAUAUAGGUUGAGGCUGACGGUACCUUGAUAAGAAGCACCGGCUAACUACGUGCCAGCCGCCGCAGUAA
Molecule: ribosomal RNA, 502 nt
Filed under: uncultured bacterium
Lineage: Bacteria
Description: partial 16S ribosomal RNA
Rfam family: Bacterial small subunit ribosomal RNA
Source: RNAcentral